This is a non-coding RNA of Erythranthe guttata (spotted monkey flower), 174 nucleotides long. The record is from RefSeq and is a predicted model, not a curated record. Lineage: Eukaryota; Viridiplantae; Streptophyta; Magnoliopsida; Lamiales; Phrymaceae.
GCGGAGGUGGAGCGGAGAAAGUUUCGGAAGGUUGAUGACAAUUACAAGAAGGCGAUUCCAGUGGAUGACGAGUCUACUGCUACUGGUGCAACUGAUAGCUUAUCAUCUCGUGGAGCUCAACCGUCUAUGCCUCCUUCGCAAUCACCUUUUGCUUUACAAUUUUGCAGCAAGUUG